This 2246-nucleotide ribosomal RNA is filed under the name Exiguobacterium marinum DSM 16307. RNAcentral describes it as "bacterial LSU rRNA". It matches the Rfam family "Bacterial large subunit ribosomal RNA", at positions 665 to 2925 of the family's 2925-position model. The record is from RNAcentral. Lineage: Bacteria; Bacillati; Bacillota; Bacilli; Caryophanales.
GCCGCAGCGAAAGCGAGUCUGAACAGGGCGCAUCAGUCCGUCGUCGUAGACCCGAAACCAGGUGAUCUACCCAUGUCCAGGAUGAAGGUCAGGUAACACUGACUGGAGGUCCGAACCCACGCACGUUGAAAAGUGCGGGGAUGAGGUGUGGGUAGCGGUGAAAUGCCAAUCGAACCUGGAGAUAGCUGGUUCUCUCCGAAAUAGCUUUAGGGCUAGCCUCGAGGUGAAGAGUUCUGGAGGUAGAGCACUGAUUGGACUAGGGGCCCCCACAGGGUUACCGAAUUCAGUCAAACUCCGAAUGCCAGCAACUUUUACUCGGGAGUCAGACUGCGAGUGAUAAGAUCCGUAGUCGAGAGGGAAACAGCCCAGACCAUCAGCUAAGGUCCCCAAGUGUAUGUUAAGUGGAAAAGGAUGUGGCGCUGCACAGACAACUAGGAUGUUGGCUUAGAAGCAGCCACCAUUCAAAGAGUGCGUAAUAGCUCACUAGUCGAGUGGCGCCGCGCCGAAAAUGUAACGGGGCUAAACAUACCACCGAAGCUAUGGAUCCCGUAAGGGAUGGUAGGAGAGCGUUCCAAGCAGCAGUGAAGCGGUACCGUGAGGAGCCGUGGAGCGCUUGGAAGUGAGAAUGCCGGUGUGAGUAGCGAAAAGAGGGGUGAGAAUCCCCUCCGUCGAAAGCCCAAGGUUUCCUGAGGAAGGCUCGUCCGCUCAGGGUUAGUCUGGACCUAAGCCGAGGCCGAAAGGCGUAGGCGAUGGACAACAGGUUGAUAUUCCUGUACCGCCGUACCACCGUUCGAACGAUGGGGGGACGCAGAAGGAUAAGGUGACCGUGCGACUGGAAGUGCACGGACAAGCAGCAAGGCCGUCGGGUUGGCAAAUCCGCCCGACACCAAGGUUGAGCUGUGACGUGGAGCCCGUAGGGCGAAGCACCGGAUUUCACGCUGCCAAGAAAAGCCUCUAGUGAGGAGGUCGGCGCCAGUACCGCAAACCGACACAGGUAGGCGAGAUGAGAAUUCUAAGACGCGCGGGAUAACUCUCGUUAAGGAACUCGGCAAAAUGGUCCCGUAACUUCGGGAGAAGGGACGCUUAUGGCAACAUAAGCCGCAGUGAAUAGGCCCAAACGACUGUUUAGCAAAAACACAGGUCUCUGCUAAAUCGCAAGAUGAAGUAUAGGGGCUGACGCCUGCCCGGUGCUGGAAGGUUAAGGGGAUGUGUCAUCGCAAGAGAAGCACUGAACCGAAGCCCCAGUAAACGGCGGCCGUAACUAUAACGGUCCUAAGGUAGCGAAAUUCCUUGUCGGGUAAGUUCCGACCCGCACGAAAGGCGUAACGAUUUGGGCACUGUCUCAACGAGAGACCCGGUGAAAUCAUAGUACCUGUGAAGAUGCAGGUUACCCGCGACAGGACGGAAAGACCCCAUGGAGCUUUACUACAGCCUGAUAUUGAGGCUUUGUACGCGAUGUACAGGAUAGGUGGGAGUCUGUGAAGCCGGAGCGCCAGCUUCGGUGGAGACACCCUUGGGAUACCACCCUUUGCGUAUAGAGUCUCUAACUCGCAGCCGUGAUCCGGCUGGAGGACCGUGUCAGGCGGGUAGUUUGACUGGGGCGGUCGCCUCCUAAACAGUAACGGAGGCGCCCAAAGGUUCCCUCAGAAUGGUUGGAAAUCAUUCGAAGAGUGCAAAGGCAGAAGGGAGCUUGACUGCGAGACCUACAAGUCGAGCAGGGACGAAAGUCGGGCUUAGUGAUCCGGUGGUUCCGCAUGGAAGGGCCAUCGCUCAACGGAUAAAAGCUACCCUGGGGAUAACAGGCUGAUCUCCCCCAAGAGUCCACAUCGACGGGGAGGUUUGGCACCUCGAUGUCGGCUCAUCGCAUCCUGGGGCUGGAGUAGGUCCCAAGGGUUGGGCUGUUCGCCCAUUAAAGCGGUACGCGAGCUGGGUUCAGAACGUCGUGAGACAGUUCGGUCCCUAUCCGUCGUGGGCGCAGGAAAUUUGAGGAGAGCUGUCCUUAGUACGAGAGGACCGGGAUGGACGCACCGCUGGUGUACCAGUUGUUCCGCCAGGAGCAUCGCUGGGUAGCUACGUGCGGACGGGAUAAGUGCUGAAAGCAUCUAAGCAUGAAGCCCCCUCCGAGAUGAGAUUUCCCUUUGAGCAAUCAAGAAAGACCCCUCAGAGACGAUGAGGUAGAUAGGUCAUGGGUGGAAGCGUGGUGACACGUGGAGCUGAAUGAUACUAAUCGGUCGAGGCUUUGAUCU